UUCGCAAUGCCCGAAAGGGUGACGAAGCGACGCCGCGUGGGUGAGGAAGACCUUCGGGUUGUAAAGCCCUGUCAGGAGUUAAGAAAUAUAAGUGCGCUAAUAUCGCAUUUAUUUGACGAAGGCUCCAAAGGAAGCCACGGCUAACUCUGUGCCAGCAGCCGCGGUAAUACAGAGGUGGCAAGCGUUGUUCGGAAUUAUUGGGCGUAAAGAGCACGUAGGUGGGUUUGUAAGUCAGAUGUGAAAGCCUUCUGUUCAACGGAAGAAUUGCAUCUGAAACUACAAGUCUUGAGUGUAGGAGGGGAGAAUGGAACUUCUGGUGGAGCGGUGAAAUGCGUAGAUAUCAGAAGGAACGCCGGCGGCGAAAGCGAUUCUCUGGCCUAUUACUGACACUCAGUGUGCGAAAGCUAGGGGAGCAAACGGGAUUAGAUACCCCGGUAGUCCUAGCUGUAAACGAUGGGCACUAAGUAGAGGGGUUUU
RNAcentral lists this ribosomal RNA (477 nucleotides) under Candidatus Scalindua brodae. RNAcentral describes it as "bacterial SSU rRNA". It matches the Rfam family "Bacterial small subunit ribosomal RNA", at positions 365 to 832 of the family's 1533-position model. Lineage: Bacteria; Pseudomonadati; Planctomycetota; Candidatus Brocadiia; Candidatus Brocadiales; Candidatus Scalinduaceae. The record is from RNAcentral.